UCAAGCUGCACUUCUAAACCCCUGCAAAAGCGAUAAGAGAGAGAGAAGCAGUGGAGAAAUGCGAAACAAAUCUCUCUCUUCGAUUCGUCUUUCCCGUCCACUACACACAAAUAUACAUAUAUAUAUAUAUACACAUACAUAUAGUGAUACGCAUAUAAAUCAACCACAUCGCCAUCAACAUCAGGCAUGAUCUCUCUCUCUCUCUCCAAGACUCUCUCUAUCUCUCUUUUCAGCAUCAUCUUCUCUUUCUCUUUCUAUAGCUCUCUCUAGAUUGUGAUUGCGAUUGCUAAGAAUUUUUCCUUUUCUUCCUGUAAUCUGUUGAAACAUAGGUAAGUUAUGUCCCCAACCUUUUCUUUUUUUUUCCUCUUUUUUUGUGUGUAUGUUAAACCCUAAUGCUCUAUUUGGUUUCCGAGAAAUCUGUGGAAAUAAACAUAAGGGAAAAGAAAUUGAAAAUUUAAUGUCGUUGUCGUCAGCUUUCUCAUCCAAUUGAUUUAGUUGUUCAAGUUUCAACUAUUUCAAUUUGACGGGAAAUGUAAGGAAAUUUGUUACUACAUUUUUUUUGUUUUAUUUUAUUUUUUAACAUGGUUCUGAAAUUCUUGGUUUCGAUUUUUUUUUGUUUUUUUUUGAAGCCAUUAGGAAGGAAGGACUAACUUGGGUCUUAGAGGAUUUCUUUUAACUUUUUCGUUACUUGAAAUAGUUUCAAGUGCAUGUGUGAUUGUUGAUGCUUAAAUUGCAAUUCUUGUACUUUCUUAGGCAAAUACGUGACAAAUUUGGUAACCUUGUGCUUAGAUUUUCUUUCUAUUUCAAAAAUAUAGUGUAUUAAAUGCUAUUACCUUUGUUGUGAUUUUAAAUUGCAAUUCUUGUUGUUGCUUAGGAAAAUACAUGACAAAUUUGGUAAACUUGUGUUUAAAUUUGCUUUCUAUUUCUAAAAGAUAGUGUAUUAAAUGCUGUUAUUGCUAUACUUUCUCUUUGGUUACAAUGUAUUGCUUUUGAGUUAAAGCAUAGUGAAAAAAAAAAUGGCUUUAGUGGUUCUUUCAAAGGAAAAUUUGUCUUAACAUUUACAAAUCACAAUAUUAAGGGAAGCUGAAAUGUCUUUCUUUGUAGGCAAAGGAUUCCUCACUUUUGUUAGGGUGUGCUUAUUUGUAUCCAAAAAGACAAACAAGCCAAAAAAAAAAAGAUUUGUCGCAUGAAAAACUUGCUUAUUUUUGUCUACUAGGAUUUGUCACUUUUAUUUGUAUCCAAAAAGAAUUGGUCACAUAAUAAAUUUGCCUUUUUGUCUUUGUGCCUGUGGACACCAUUAUUGAUGAUGCCUCGGCAGUGUUGUUGACAACAAUGAUUUUUUCUCAUUACAAUACAUUUCUGUUGGUUUGAGACUGGAGCUAGAGAAGAAAAAGAUAAUAUAUGGAGGACGACACAAGAAAAGAUUUGGAAUGCCCGAAGAUUAUGGAUGGGAAGGCGAAUGACAAUGUGAAUGAUUUGGAUAAGGCUAUUAUCCUUUCCUGUUGCUUGAAGGCUAGGAUCCAUACACUGAGCUUGAGGCUAAAUGCCAUUCAACAGUUGUUUCUGGAUGGUUCUCCGAACCUGAAUCAUGCUCUGGUAAAGAUAGUAAGCGAGUUUAUUUCAAUAACCCAAUGUGGCUAGUUCUCAACAUAUGGGAAAGUUCUUGUGCUUGAUGGCAUUGUUCAGUUGACUGAGAAAGAUGAAUGUGUCUCUCAGGAGAUGAUAACUCAUCUUCCC
Molecule: non-coding RNA, 1737 nt
Organism: Camellia sinensis
Lineage: Eukaryota; Viridiplantae; Streptophyta; Magnoliopsida; Ericales; Theaceae
Source: RefSeq, a predicted model, not a curated record